Molecule: unclassified non-coding RNA, 416 nt
Filed under: soil metagenome
Description: partial contains 5.8S ribosomal RNA, internal transcribed spacer 2, and large subunit ribosomal RNA
Rfam family: 5.8S ribosomal RNA (bases 1-120)
Source: RNAcentral
GAUGAAGAACGUAGUGAAAUGCGAUAAGUAAUGUGAAUUGCAGAAUUCAGUGAAUCAUCGAAUCUUUGAACGCACCUUGCACUCCUUGGUAUUCCGAGGAGUACGCCUGUUCGAGUGUUAUGAAGCUCUCAAAACGCAAUUGGCUUAAAACCUGAUUGUUGUUUUGGAUUUGAACUUUGCCGUGUUAUAACGGCUGGUUUUAAAAGUAUUAGCUGGUACUAGAACGAAUUGGUUCUACUCAACGUGAUAAUUAUCUGAUCGUUGAGGACAUUCCUUUCACGAGGAAUGGCUAUAGUAAAUUCAAUGGACUGCUUCUAAUCUGGCUUUAAUUCUUUAUUGGAUUAACCACUUUUCAAAUCUGACCUCGAAUCAGGUGGGACUACCCGCUGAACUUAAGCAUAUCAAUAAGCGGAGGA